This 2007-nucleotide long non-coding RNA is filed under the name Heterocephalus glaber (naked mole-rat). Its description in RNAcentral is "lncRNA (ENSHGLG00000049048.1)". The record is from RNAcentral. Lineage: Eukaryota; Metazoa; Chordata; Mammalia; Rodentia; Bathyergidae.
CUCCAUCCUUCUGCCCUUCUGCCCUUCCCAUCCUCCUUCUCCAGACUUUAUACAGACACUCACCCCCCAGAAGAUACUGUUUUUCGGGGCACAAGGUUCCACCACACCUCAGCCCCAAUGCCCAGGCCACACAGCCCUGCUGCCAGCAGCCAGACAGCCCAAUAUGGGGCCAUGGCACACACCCCAGCUCUCAGCUCCAGGCCAGCAGCCCUGGCAAGGGAAAAGAAGUGGUCAGCAAACAUCCCAGAAGAGGGCCACACUGAGACGGCAGAGAGAACACCCAACCAGAGCUCUUGCGGAGCCCUCACUUCUUUGGCCCUGCCUUUCUCUCAGGUAGAGGACCCAGCUCCCCACACCUGGCCUCAGCCCCCCAAGACCCUGGAGUCUCCUGCAGAUUGGUAGAGAAGCUGAGCCAGCUAGAGGUGUGGAGAGACAUCAAGAAGCCCUCUAAAGGGCCGGGAUGUAGCUCACUGGUUCGGCCACCAGCCUCAAAAGCGCAAGGACCUGAGUUCGAUCCCCGGUACCAAAAAAAAAAGAAGUCCCUCUAAAACAUAAAGGCCAUCCCCACUCCCUCUUGGCUACAGGAAGUUGUUUGGAAAAAUAAGAGGAACACCCUUCUCCCACACUCAGGCCUAAGAGGUACAGAAGUUUCUUAAAAUAACCUCAAGAAGCAGGACCUGCAACCACUGGGGCUGCCACAGCCUCAAGACCUAAUUCUGCCAGGUCCAGAGCUAGAGCUGCGGGGGCGUGAGGCUGGCAAGGCCUCCAAUUGGGGACUCGGUGCAGCAGGUCCUGGCCCAGCCCCAGCGGGUCCCCUUCCCCCCGGUGCAGACAAUGGCCCGGCAGAGCCUCAAAUCCCGUUCCACAUCAGCAGGACUGGGGCGGGAGUUGCCUCGGUGCCUGAGGGGCCCAGUUUCCCGAGGCCCCUUUGUUGCCCUAGAGGGAGGCAGGAAGUGGGUGGGAUGGGCGUGGAAAUGACCAAGGCCUCAUCCUGUCCCCCCACACAGCCUUCUAGGAGACACUCGCCCUCGGGCUGCGGGGCGGCAGGACAGCGGGCAGGCUCAGGUCCCAUCCAGGGUAUCCCCCCCCACCUCCCCUGCGGCGCUAGCAGGCGUGGCUCGGGGAGGGUGGGGAAGGGGUGGGAAGUCGGAGGAGGUCCUCGCGGGCCGGACGCGAUCGGCCAGCGCUCCGGCACUCCCCCGGGUCUAGCGAACCUCUCCAACUAGGCGACUGCGCCCUGGGGACCCUGGCCUGGGCAGGCCAUCGGAAUUGAUUUCCACGGCUCCGGCCCCCAACUGAGGCCGGACAAAGACACGGAAAUGGGGAACCUGCUCCCCUCCAAAACAAAGGGUCCCCGCCAAGUCCCCAUCCCGGGUCCCCCGGUUCUCCCCUCCCCCAGCUCGGGAUUUGAAUGGAAACAAAGCGGCGGCGCCGGGAGCGUGGCGAGCUCGGCCUUCGGACGCCCUCUGCCGGCCCGAAACCCCAGCGCGGGCAGGGCGGGGGACGGGAGCGUUCGCCCCCAGUAGUCCCCCCAACGCGUCCCCCUUUCGAAGCCAUCACCUCAGCUCCGUCUAGACCCAGCGGCGCGCUCUGAGGACUCGCCUGCGCCGCGAGCCCCCUCCCCCAGCUUCCCCAGAGCGGAGUGCUCGGGCAGCCAGGGAGUGGCGGAGUGCGGGAUCCAGGCAGCGCGCUCCGCACGCUCGCCCACCCCGAGCCACCGGCUGUAGUCGGCGACUGGACUUAGGCCGUGGGGGACCUGGCUUCACGGGCCAGCACCCCUCUUCCUCCAGCGAAACGGGGCGGGGGCGGGGGGCGGCAGGGAAAUCUGAUCCCACAACAUCGGCCUUGGUCCAAGCCCGCCCCAAACUUUCUGUCCGGGGGUGGAGGAGCAGGGGGCAGCUCGGGAGCCUGGCGAACAUCCCGGCCGCGCACCGGACGGACAGCACUAGACCCGGCGCCCCCAGACCCGCCCGCGUCCCGGGCCCUGGGGCUGCAGGCGCGGCUCGC